RNAcentral lists this unclassified non-coding RNA (1477 nucleotides) under uncultured fungus. RNAcentral describes it as "sequence contains 18S rRNA gene, ITS1, 5.8S rRNA gene, ITS2, 28S rRNA gene". The stretch from base 530 to 1477 matches the Rfam family "Eukaryotic large subunit ribosomal RNA", at positions 1 to 961 of the family's 3401-position model. The record is from RNAcentral. Lineage: Eukaryota; Fungi.
GGAAGGAUCAUUCCUAAAAAGCGUUGGCUUUUGUCAACCAGUAGCACUGGUCGGAUGGUGAAACUGUUUUACAACAGCGUAUCUAUCUUGUAUCAUAAUUUUAACCAGGAUACGUUUUAAUAUAGACUGAUUUCAAAAGGGUUUUGUCAAAAGAUGGAAUACCUAAUUAAAAUAAACAGCUAUUGGCAACGGAUACCUCGGUUCUCACAACGAUGAAGAACGCAGCGAAACGCGAUAAUUAGUGCGAAUUGCAGAAUUCAGUGAAUCAUCGAAUCUUUGAACGCAAGUUGCGCUCCUGGGUAUACCUGGGAGCAUGCCUCUUUCAGUGUCGGGUAAAACCCACAAGUCAUCUUUGAUUUGGAAAAUGAGUAUCUGUUACAGUUGCUCUAAGCUUUCAGCUCUUGUUGGUUUCAUCUAAAGUCUUAGUGCCAGUUGGUAUUGAAUGAAGACAAUUAACCUUGUUGGAUUUUCUUGCAUAACUUUUACAAAGAUUGAAACAUAACAUGGCUCCAAACUUUAAAUACAAACAAGACCUGAGAGAGGUAAGAUUACCCGCCGAACUUAAGCAUAUCACUAAGCGGAGGAAAAGAAACUAAAUAGGAUUCCCCUAGUAACGGCGAGUGAAAAGGGAAGAGCCCAACCCGAGAAUCCAUCAACUCGUGUGAUGGAAUUGUGGGUUAUGGAUACAACGUCAGUGUAGUGCCCCGGUCUAAGUGUGUUGGAAUGCACUGGCAGAGAGGGUGAGACCCCCGUUCUGGGCUGGGAGACCUGCAUGUACGACUUGUUUUCCAAGAGUAGGUUUGCUUGAGAGUGCAGACUGAAGUGGGAGGUAAAUUCCUUCCAAGGCUAAAUAUAUGUGAGAGACCGAUAGCGCACAAGUACCGUGAGGGAAAGGUGAAAAGGACUUUGAAAAGAGAGUCAAAAGUACUUGAAAUUGUCAGUAUAUAAGCGAUAAAGUCUAGUGCAUGGUUGCGCCAUAUUUCUUGGGUGUUUUUAUGUCCAAGUUCUGUGAGUGUGACUUGUGUCAAAACUGAUUCGUGCUGCAGGAUACAGGCUUUUGUCUGGGUAGACUUCUCUUCGGAGCUGUCGAUGAGAUGAUUGUCAUUAACUGUGGUAUUGAUUGCGAUUUGACGAAAUGGUCUUUAUCGACCCGUCUUGAAACACGGACCAAGGAGUCUAACGUAUUGGCGAGUCAAUGGGUGGUAAACCCUACGGCGCAAUGAAAGUGAAUGAGCAUUUCGGUGUUCUGAGGUGUGCAACUAUUCGGUAGUUACAACAUCGCCCGGCAGUUCAUUUAUGUUCUGUACGAGGCCGAGCCUAUCCGCUAGGACCCGAAAGAUGGUGAACUAUGCCUGAGCAGGGUGAAGCCAGGGGAAACUCUGGUGGAAGCUCGAAGCGAUACUGACGUGCAAAUCGUUCGUCGGACUUGGGUAUAGGGGCGAAAGACUAAUCGAACCAUCUAGUAGCUGGUUCCCUC